Molecule: unclassified non-coding RNA, 171 nt
Filed under: uncultured fungus
Lineage: Eukaryota; Fungi
Description: sequence contains ITS1
Source: RNAcentral
UUGAUUCGUUGCUUAUAGCUCAGACAACACCGUUAAACAGGAGUUUUGAUGUAUCCUCCGGCGGGCGAACCCACCGAGGCAACAUUGGUCAAUUCUCAAGGGUUUAGAAGUUCGCGGUUUGACCCGCGUUUACUUUCUAUAAUGAUCCUUCCGCAGGUUCACCUACGGAAA